AUUUAAGUAGUUUAUAAAAAUAUUGAUUUGUGGUGUCAAAGAUAUGGUCUCAUCUUAAAUC
This 61-nucleotide transfer RNA is filed under the name Trypetoptera punctulata. RNAcentral describes it as "tRNA-His". Lineage: Eukaryota; Metazoa; Arthropoda; Insecta; Diptera; Sciomyzidae. The record is from RNAcentral.